Podarcis lilfordi (Lilford's wall lizard) is the source of this 72-nucleotide non-coding RNA. The record is from the annotation of a GenBank genome assembly. Lineage: Eukaryota; Metazoa; Chordata; Lepidosauria; Squamata; Lacertidae.
UGAAUAGCUCAGUUGGUUAGAGCUUGGUGCAGAUAAUGCCAAGGUUGCAGGUUUAAUCCUUGUAUGGGACAA